AGGAAUAUUGGUCAAUGGGCGCAGGCCUGAACCAGCCAAGUAGCGUGAAGGAUGACUGCCCUAUGGGUUGUAAACUUCUUUUAUAAAGGAAUAAAGUCGGGUAUGUAUACCCGUUUGCAUGUACUUUAUGAAUAAGGAUCGGCUAACUCCGUGCCAGCAGCCGCGGUAAUACGGAGGAUCCGAGCGUUAUCCGGAUUUAUUGGGUUUAAAGGGAGCGUAGAUGGAUGUUUAAGUCAGUUGUGAAAGUUUGCGGCUCAACCGUAAAAUUGCAGUUGAUACUGGGUAUCUUGAGUGCAGUUGAGGCAGGCGGAAUUCGUGGUGUAGCGGUGAAAUGCUUAGAUAUCACGAAGAACUCCGAUUGCGAAGGCAGCCUGCUAAGCUGCAACUGACAUUGAGGCUCGAAAGUGUGGGUAUCAAACAGGAUUAGAUACCCUGGUAGUCCACACGGUAAACGAUGAAUACUCGCUGUUUGCGAUAUACUGCAAGCGGCCAAGCGAAAGCGUUAAGUAUUCCACCUGGGGAGUACGCCGGCAACGGUGAAACUCAAAGGAAUUGACGGGGGCCCGCACAAGCGGAGGAACAUGUGGUUUAAUUCGAUGAUACGCGAGGAACCUUACCCGGGCUUAAAUUGCAGAUGAAUUACGGUGAAAGCCGUAAGCCGCAAGGCAUCUGUGAAGGUGCUGCAUGGUUGUCGUCAGCUCGUGCCGUGAGGUGUCGGCUUAAGUGCCAUAACGAGCGCAACCCUUGUUGUCAGUUACUAACAGGUUCCGCUGAGGACUCUGACAAGACUGCCAUCGUAAGAUGUGAGGAAGGUGGGGAUGACGUCAAAUCAGCACGGCCCUUACGUCCGGGGCUACACACGUGUUACAAUGGGGGGUACAGAGGGCCGCUACCACGCGAGUGGAUGCCAAUCCCCAAAACCUCUCUCAGUUCGGACUGGAGUCUGCAACCCGACUCCACGAAGCUGGAUUCGCUAGUAAUCGCGCAUCAGCCACGGCGCGGUGAAUACGUUCCCG
This 1016-nucleotide ribosomal RNA is filed under the name uncultured bacterium. RNAcentral's name for it is "bacterial SSU rRNA". It matches the Rfam family "Bacterial small subunit ribosomal RNA", at positions 357 to 1376 of the family's 1533-position model. The record is from RNAcentral.